GCUGUGGAGUGUCAUACAAACCUGAGUAGCUUCGGCAAAAGGGGACACGAUGAAGCAGUGA
Molecule: non-coding RNA, 61 nt
Filed under: unclassified sequences
Description: RAGATH-18 RNA
Rfam family: RAGATH-18 RNA
About the family: Actinobacteria, Firmicutes, Fusobacteria, Thermotogae (1 example). Nearby to self-cleaving ribozyme genes
Source: Rfam by way of RNAcentral